RNAcentral lists this long non-coding RNA (275 nucleotides) under Elaeis guineensis (African oil palm). Its description in RNAcentral is "long non-coding RNA (EGUI_LNC013688)". The record is from RNAcentral. Lineage: Eukaryota; Viridiplantae; Streptophyta; Magnoliopsida; Arecales; Arecaceae.
CAACAAUCGGACUCGAGAAUAAGAAAACUCUCGGGCCUGAUAGGGAGUCGUUGGUCGGAACCUCCGACCAACCACCCCCUGUAGGAAUCUCACCUAUUGGAAGAACUAUCAAAAAUCCAAAGGAACUCAAAGAGAAAACAACAAAGAAUGUUUUCGCAUGAAAGUAGCUCUCUGGCAAAGCUCUCCCACCAGAAGAGAUAAAAUGAGGGAUGGAUACCUGACUGACAGCAGUCCUUUAUAUAGAGGAAUGCCUAACGGCCCGAAUGAAAGCAGUC